Molecule: long non-coding RNA, 2276 nt
Organism: Hevea brasiliensis (rubber tree)
Lineage: Eukaryota; Viridiplantae; Streptophyta; Magnoliopsida; Malpighiales; Euphorbiaceae
Exons: 7
Source: RefSeq, a predicted model, not a curated record
UCCAUCACCAAGCUCUACAAUUUGCAAACAUUGAGAUUCCUUAGGUGAGAGUCACUUGAAGAGCUUCCUAGAAAUAAAAUAUGCAAUCUGAUCAGCUUGAGAAAUAUUGAAUAUAUCUAACGAUCAGCAUAUGCCAUCUAAGGUGGGACGGUUAGCCAGUCUUGAAAGAUUAUCCUUGUUUGCUGUGGGUGCAGAUAGGGGAGGUAGCAUUAAAGAACUAGAAUGAUUACACCAACUAAGCGGGGAGUUGGAGAUAAUUUAUCUUGAGGGGGUGAGAAACAAAGAAGAAGCUAAGAAAUCAAAUCCACAGGGGAAAACGAAAUUGAAAGCCCUUCAUUUUGGAUGGAGAUUUUCUGGAAGAGCAAGCGAGAGCAAGCGACAACAAUGAUAAGGAAGUGUUGGAAGGUCUUGAGCCUCACUCAAACAUAAAGAGAAUAAAGGUAGAGAAUUAUUCGGGCAAAAAGUUCCCGCUGUGGCUAUAUAGGAUGAAAAUUCUGAGUGAAGAUGAUUCUUUAACUGUAUUUGAUAAUUUGGUGGAACUUGUAUUGGAGAAGUGUGAGUGGUGUGAAGAACUCCCAAGGCUUGACAUCUUCCUCGUCUUAAAACGCUCGAAAUAAUAAGAAUGGGCAAGAUAAGAUGUAUAGGGAACGAAUUCUAUGGCAUUGACAGUGGAAGCACAAGCAAUGGAGGGAGACUGUUUCCAGCAUUAAAGAAAUUAUAUUUUUAUGAUAUGAGGAGUUUAGUUGAAUGGAAGGCACCACCAGUAGAUGAAGGAGGCGAAACAUCUGUAUUUUCUUGCCUUGAAGAAUUGUCCAUAAAGAAUUCUCCUCGGUUGGCAAAAAUUCCAUUAAGUGAUAGUUCAUCGCUUGUGACAUUGGAAAUCGAUUAUUGUAACCAAUUGAAUUACUUAUUUGAAGAACAACAAGUACACUCCUUCUCCUCUCUUAAAAGCAUUACAAUUAGAGAGUGUCAUAAAUUAAUUUGUCUUCCAAGUGGACUGAAAUCCUUCACUUCUCUGGAAUCACUGGUAAUAAGGUAUUGCCACGGCCUAACAUCUGUUCCCGAAUAUUUAGGAGAAUUGCAUUCUCUUCGUCUUUUAGAAGUAACAUACUGUGGAAGUUUAAGUUACUUUCCAGAGACAAUAUUAGGAGGCCUCACCCGAUUAAGGGAAUUAAGAAUUGGUGGUCUGUCGGAGGAGUUGGAUUCUUUCCCUUAUCUGACUUCAAUCCAAGACCUCUCAUCCAUUGAAUCCUUAACUAUAUGUGGAGGUUGGAGAAGUAGAAUAAAGUAUCUGCAGAUCAACUUCAACGCCUCACUGCCCUAUACUCAUUGUCUAUACUCGGUUGGGCAACCUUUCGUCUCUUCAAACCCUGAAAUUACAGUCUUGUAUGAAAUUGAAGUGUCUACCUACAGCUACAGCCAUGCAACGCCUCUCCAAAUUAAGGAAGCUCGAGAUUACAUAUUGUCCUCUUAGAGAAAAUUGUACCAAGGGGAGUGGCUCUGAGUGGUCCAAGAUUUCUCAUAUCCCAGACGUAGAUAUAAGACGCAGGUAAUUACCAUUUUUUUUCUCCUCUUUGGGCGCGCACCGUGGACUGGCUUCAUUUGUGAAUUCUCAGGAUGUUGUUUAGUAAUAAAUGAUCAUCUUAUGGUGUUUGAAGUCCACACAAGGGUCGUUUGCAUUGAUCUAAAGAAUAUAUUAGAGAUUUUAGAGAUUGCAGGAUGCAAGAUAAUUUCAGAUACAACUGCAAUGUUUUCUCUGAAAUUUUCUGCUUUCAUUUGAGCCGAUUGGUAAAGCCAAAAAAUUGUUCAACUGAGUAGAAAGAAUGUCUUUGGUGCUGCCAACAUUGUCCCAGGUGGAAGACAGAAAAAUCUUUGGAGAUUGUUAUUAGCUCCUCAAGGGACUACACCUGCUGAAUUUCAAGUUCUAGCAAUAAGACUGAACUGAAAUAGAGAUAAGUCCCCAUCAAGAGCUUGAGCUUUGAGCCUCCAAUUCUCCUGAAAUUGUCAACUUCCUUUGGCUAAAACUGACUAGAGGACCAAGCAGUCUCACUUUUUGGAGUCAAUAGAAGAUGGAAGAGAAUUAGUGAGUUGAAGUUGUUGCAGCAGAGGAAAGGCAGAGUGAAUGCAGAUAGUCAGUCAAACAGGGUUAGGACUUGGCUUGUUAUUGAUGAAGAUGACUUCUCAAUACCAGCUACCAUGUUAGAUAUGCUUUCUUGUGAUGGUGAAGUUCUACUUGACCCAAUGGAUAGCUAGAUUCCAUGAAGAAAGGAAAUGAA